CGUCUGAAGUCACUAAGCUUCGGGGUUCAGGAGAGAGUUGUUGGCUCGCAUUAUUCUUUGGAGGCGGUGGCUGCCCGCCAGAGGCAGCUGCGGGUCGUUUGCAUUGCAGGGAGUCUAUGAUUUUUGAGGGAGCUCUUCCUUCCCUUAGAUCGUCCGCUUCUUUAGAGUGGGCCUCUGCCUCGCACGGAUUGAAUUCGCCCUUUAAUCUUUCCCCACCCUCCCUCUCGCUGGCCCACUCCGCAGUUUAACAAGCUUUGCAGACCGUUCCAGGAGGCUCAUCCCCGGAGAUCUGACAGCAGCUGGCGGACAAAGGAGGAAUUAUUUCAUAGGCUCUGGCUGGAUAGAGAUUAUUUCAGCCAUUACUUCAGAAAUGAUGGCAAAGGAGGAGUAAGUGGGCCAUUGCAACAUCAUCUUUAAACCCUGCACUGGACGGCAGCUUCCUACAAGACACCAGCCAAGCGAACGGGAGGGUCAGAAAGAAACUGGAGCUCCCUUUGAAGCCAGACUGCCUUUAUUCUUCACCUAACUCGGUGCUCUGUUGGACAGGAGCAUUCGUAUUGAAGUCUGCUUAGUGGCUGCCACCCAGAAUCCAGUGAGGCUGUUUGCCAGGGAAACCUGAGGCCUCGUGCAUGUUAGGUGAUCUGUCACUGAGCCCAGCCCCAGCCCUUGCAGGAUGAUUCCUAUCCACGGUGGUGUUGGAGAACCACUGACUAAAAGAAGAAACAAACAAAAGGAUUAUGUCAUAUGUGACUUUUCCUGCGGUUAUACUAUCAACCCCAGCUGCACACAGGUGACAAAAUAGGGAGAAAACAUGAAGUCCUGUGCUUCUCCACUUGGGUGUCUGCAAGAUCGAGUGAUCAGAGUGCAGCCGGAUGACUCGCUCUCUCAUGGACUGUCACUGCCACUUUAGGGUGACUCACAAACCCUGUCCAUCCAGGCAUGGGUGCUGGCAGAUACUGUCUAGAAAGUCCUGGUCUCACUAGCCAAACUCCAGCAAUUACAAUGACCAGAGUGUAGAGAAAAGCAUAGAAGAAAGACAUGAACUUUCCAGGCGCUGAGGACACAGAGUUAGCAAAACCCACAAAACUUGACUCUUCUGAGCACCCUUACCAUCAUCUCAGCAGCACUGAUGGAUGGAACAGUGAAUGAAUGUAAUCAGAAUCAAAAGGAAACAACGUUGUGAAAAAGGCACCCUGCUCACCGCUAUAGUACCAUGGAGAAGGAGAGGAAGUAAAGUCAAGAGGGGUAACCAUGCAGGAAUUUUCACUAGUAUCUGAAACACAAC
Molecule: long non-coding RNA, 1285 nt
Organism: Fukomys damarensis (Damara mole-rat)
Lineage: Eukaryota; Metazoa; Chordata; Mammalia; Rodentia; Bathyergidae
Exons: 8
Source: RefSeq, a predicted model, not a curated record